AGGACGAACGCUGGCGGCGUGCCUAACACAUGCAAGUCGAACGGAGCCCGCAAGGGUUCAGUGGCGAACGGGUGCGUAACACGUGAGGAACUUGUCCAUCGGCGGGGGAUAGCCGGCCCAACGGCCGGGUAAUACCGCGUACGCCGUCCGGAGCGCAUGCUCUGGCCGGGAAAGCAGCAAUGCACCGAUGGAGCGCCUCGCGGCCUAUCAGCUAGUUGGUGGGGUAAUGGCCUACCAAGGCGACGACGGGUAGCUGGUCUGAGAGGAUGACCAGCCACAUUGGGACUGAGACACGGCCCAGACUCCUACGGGAGGCAGCAGUGGGGAAUAUUGCGCAAUGGGCGAAAGCCUGACGCAGCGACGCCGCGUGUGGGAUGACGGCCUUCGGGUUGUAAACCACUGUCGCGAGGGACGAAGAUCUGACGGUACCUCGAAAGGAAGCACCGGCUAACUCUGUGCCAGCAGCCGCGGUAA
This 474-nucleotide ribosomal RNA is filed under the name uncultured bacterium. RNAcentral describes it as "SSU rRNA". It matches the Rfam family "Bacterial small subunit ribosomal RNA", at positions 26 to 523 of the family's 1533-position model. The record is from RNAcentral.